This 301-nucleotide ribosomal RNA is filed under the name uncultured bacterium. RNAcentral's name for it is "partial 16S ribosomal RNA". It matches the Rfam family "Bacterial small subunit ribosomal RNA", at positions 509 to 807 of the family's 1533-position model. The record is from RNAcentral.
CAGCCGCCGCGGGAAUACGAAGGGUGCAAGCGUUAAUCGGAAUUACUGGGCGUAAAGCGUGCGUAGGCGGUGAGUUAAGUCUGCUGUGAAAUCCCCGGGCUCAACCUGGGAAUGGCAGUGGAUACUGGCUCGCUAGAGUGUGUCAGAGGAUGGUGGAAUUCCCGGUGUAGCGGUGAAAUGCGUAGAGAUCGGGAGGAACAUCAGUGGCGAAGGCAGCCCCCUGGGCCAACACUGACGCUCAUGCACGAAAGCGUUGGGAGCAAACAGGAUUAGAUACCCCUGUAGUCCCUGUCUCUUAUAC